Molecule: ribosomal RNA, 445 nt
Filed under: Streptomyces sp. 7BF2
Lineage: Bacteria; Bacillati; Actinomycetota; Actinomycetes; Kitasatosporales; Streptomycetaceae
Description: bacterial SSU rRNA
Rfam family: Bacterial small subunit ribosomal RNA
Source: RNAcentral
AGAGUUUGAUCCUGGCUCAGGACGAACGCUGGCGGCGUGCUUAACACAUGCAAGUCGAACGAUGAAGCCUUCGGGUGGAUUAGUGGCGAACGGGUGAGUAACACGUGGGCAAUCUGCCCUGCACUCUGGGACAAGCCCUGGAAACGGGGUCUAAUACCGGAUAAUACUGUGCCCCUCAUGGGGGACGGUUGAAAGCUCCGGCGGUGCAGGAUGAGCCCGCGGCCUAUCAGCUUGUUGGUGGGGUAAUGGCCUACCAAGGCGACGACGGGUAGCCGGCCUGAGAGGGCGACCGGCCACACUGGGACUGAGACACGGCCCAGACUCCUACGGGAGGCAGCAGUGGGGAAUAUUGCACAAUGGGCGAAAGCCUGAUGCAGCGACGCCGCGUGAGGGAUGACGGCCUUCGGGUUGUAAACCUCUUUCAGCAGGGAAGAAGCGAAAGUGA